This 22-nucleotide microRNA is filed under the name Ornithorhynchus anatinus (platypus). RNAcentral describes it as "oan-miR-1419g-5p". The record is from miRBase by way of RNAcentral. Lineage: Eukaryota; Metazoa; Chordata; Mammalia; Monotremata; Ornithorhynchidae.
AUUACUGAGAGAUGUCAUCACA